RNAcentral lists this non-coding RNA (662 nucleotides) under Pongo abelii (Sumatran orangutan). Lineage: Eukaryota; Metazoa; Chordata; Mammalia; Primates; Hominidae. The record is from RNAcentral.
CUUGAAAAGCAACUUUUAUUGAAGAAUUUGGAGGGAAAGGGGAGGGCUUUCCUGUCACAAAGAUUAAAAACCCCCAAAAUGCAUUUGACCAACAUGAUACACAAUAACAAAUUUAAACCUUGCUCCUCUGUCCCACUGGGUAAACCCUGGCCCAUCCCCCAUCCCUGGUCCCAUCCCAGGGGCCCAGCCUCCAAUGACGUCCUCAGAGACACGGCCUUAGUGCUGGGGGCUGCCGUGUGCCUGCCACCCCCAGGAGAGGGUGCCGGCCAGCAUGCCAUAGUGAGGUUGCAUCUGGUGCCACCAGGCUGAACUGAGGCCCAGGGCCCCAGAGAGAUGACAGAUAGCUGGUGACAGACAGCCCAGGGCGGCUGGCUGACAGAGUGAGGGGACACGUGGGCAGGACCUGCCCGGCCCCCCAACGCCACAUUGCGCAUAGCUGCAGAAGUCCUUAACAUUUCCCUAUGUGAAUCGGAUUGUUCUGAGGGCUGAGGCCACGUCCGGAGAACAAACUGGAUGAAAUAAAUUAAAACCCGCAGGACAAUUUUCUUCCCUACCCCGCUGCGGGGGAGGGUGCUGCCCACAGCACAAAAACGUCUUUCCACCUGGGCUCAGGAGGACGGCGUGGCUUCUCUCAAAUGCACCCGAGAAAUAAAAACCAUUAA